ACAGGGAGGGGACAAGGAGAGGACACGGCCAUGGAGCUGCCGACCUUCAUCGCUCUCCUUGUUUCCCUCCCGUGGGCGACGCCUUCAGCCCCAGAUCUCCCUCCCCCCGCCCCCAACAUCUCGGUGACACC
Cyanistes caeruleus (blue tit) is the source of this 131-nucleotide non-coding RNA. The record is from RefSeq and is a predicted model, not a curated record. NCBI's taxonomy places the organism in Eukaryota, Metazoa, Chordata, Aves, Passeriformes, Paridae.